GAUGAGCGCUGGCGGCGUGCCUAAUACAUGCAAGUCGAGCGAAUGGAUUAAGAGCUUGCUCUUAUGAAGUUAGCGGCGGACGGGUGAGUAACACGUGGGUAACCUGCCCAUAAGACUGGGAUAACUCCGGGAAACCGGGGCUAAUACCGGAUAACAUUUUGAACCGCAUGGUUCGAAAUUGAACGGCGGCUUCGGCUGUCACUUAUGGAUGGUCCCGCGUCGCAUUAGCUAGUUGGUGAGGUAACGGCUCACCAAGGCAACGAUGCGUAGCCGACCUGAGAGGGUGAUCGGCCACACUGGGACUGAGACACGGCCCAGACUCCUACGGGAGGCAGCAGUAGGGAAUCUUCCGCAAUGGACGAAAGUCUGACGGAGCAACGCCGCGUGAGUGAUGAAGGCUUUCGGGUCGUAAAACUCUGUUGUUAGGGAAGAACAAGUGCUAGUUGAAUAAGCUGGCACCUUGACGGUACCUAACCAGAAAGCCACGGCUAACUACGUGCCAGCCGCCGCAGUAA
Molecule: ribosomal RNA, 515 nt
Filed under: uncultured bacterium
Lineage: Bacteria
Description: partial 16S ribosomal RNA
Rfam family: Bacterial small subunit ribosomal RNA
Source: RNAcentral